UAAAAGACGAAGACGGAAAAAAGUAUGGUUGAUAUUUAAGUAUCCAGAGAAGGACAUAUCUGCUGCAAGUGUCCUACGAAUAUCUCCUGAAGUUCACUUCCUGAGUUGCCACUGGGAUUCGCAAGAUGAAUAGUGUGCCGGCUGUUUCAUAGUCGUUAGCAUGUUAAGUGUCAAUAUGUUUAAGUAAUUAAGGAUAUUGGAACAAGGGUGGUACCGCGAGACCUCGUCCCUUUU
RNAcentral lists this non-coding RNA (234 nucleotides) under Liquorilactobacillus capillatus. RNAcentral describes it as "Lactobacillus capillatus T-box sequence". It matches the Rfam family "T-box leader". From Rfam's summary of the family: Uncharged tRNA acts as the effector for transcription antitermination of genes in the T-box leader family. T-boxes are found upstream of many aminoacyl-tRNA synthetase genes and some amino acid biosynthetic genes usually in Gram-positive bacteria. Lineage: Bacteria; Bacillati; Bacillota; Bacilli; Lactobacillales; Lactobacillaceae. The record is from RNAcentral.